Molecule: ribosomal RNA, 2722 nt
Filed under: Rhipicephalus bursa
Lineage: Eukaryota; Metazoa; Arthropoda; Arachnida; Ixodida; Ixodidae
Description: bacterial LSU rRNA
Rfam family: Bacterial large subunit ribosomal RNA
Source: RNAcentral
CUAAAUUCAUAGGCACAUAAGGCGAACCUGGAGAACUGAAACAUCUAAGUACCCAGAGGAAAAAAAAAUCAACCGAGAUUCCGUUAGUAGCGGCGAGCGAAAGCGGAACAGCCCAGUUACUAAAUCGUUAUUGGCUUUAGCAGAAUGUUCUGGAAAGUUCAGCCGUAGUAGGUGAUAGCCCCGUAUGUAAAAAGGCUAAUAAUGUGAGUAACAAUGAGUAAGUCGGGACACGUGAAAUCUUGACUGAAUAUGGGGGGACCAUCCUCCAAGGCUAAAUACUCCUUACUGACCGAUAGCGAACUAGUACCGUAAGGGAAAGGUAAAAAGAACCCCGACAAGGGGAGUGAAAUAGAACCUGAAACCGUAUGCGUACAAGCAGUCAAAGCAUUUUUUCGAAAAUGUAAUGGCGUACCUUUUGUAUAAUGGGUCAGCGACUUACUUGUUGUAGCAAGCUUAACCGUAUAGGGGAGGCGUAAGGAAACUGAGUCUGAAAUAGGCGUUUAGUUGCAACGAGUAGACCCGAAACCGGGCGAUCUAUCUAUGGCCAGGGUGAAGGUCAAGUAACACUGACUGGAGGCCCGAACUCACUACUGUUGAAAAAGUAGGGGAUGAGUUGUAGAUAGGAGUGAAAGACUAAUCAAGCUCGGAAAUAGCUGGUUCUCCUCGAAAGCUAUUUAGGUAGCGCCUCGUGUAUGACUCUUGGGGGUAGAGCACUGUUUCGGCUAAAAGGCCUCUCAGCCUGCUAAACCGAGGCAAACUCCGAAUACCAAGAAGUUUUAGCACGGGAGACACACUGCGGGUGAUAAGGUCCGUGGUGAAAAGGGAAACAGCCCAGACCGCCAGCUAAGGUCCCAAAAUUACAGUUAAGUGAAAAACGAUGUAGGAAGUCUCAGACAGCCAGGAGGUUGGCUUAGAAGCAGCCAUCCUUUAAAGAAAGCGUAAUAGCUCACUGGUCAAGUCGUCCUGCGCGAAAGAUUUAACGGGGCUUAAACUGUAUACCGAAGCUGCGGAGCUCUUUUUAGAGCUGGUAGAGGAGCGUUCUGUAAACCUGUGAAGGUAAAUCGAAAGGUUUACUGGAGGUAUCAGAAGUGCAAAUGCUGACAUAAGUAACGAUAAUGUAGGUGAAAAACCUACACGCCGAAAGUCCAAGGUUUCCUGCGCAACGCUAAUCGGCGCAGGGUGAGUCGGCCCCUAAGGUAAAGCAGAAAUGCGUAGUCGAUGGGAAACAGGUUAAUAUUCCUGUACUUUACAAUACUGCGAUGGGAGGACGAAGAAGGCUAGGUCAGCCACUUAAUGGUUGUAGUGGUUUAAGUGUGUAGGAAAAGUUCUUUGGCAAAUCCGGGAACUUAAUUCUGAGAUAUAAUGACAAAGCAUGACUUGUUCAUGCGAAGUGACUAAUGCCACGCUUCCAGGAAAAGUCUCUAAGCUUCAGGUGUUGUAAAACCGUACCUAAACCGACACAGGUAGACAAGUAGAGAAUACUAAGGCGUUUGAGAGAACUUGGGUGAAGGAACUAGGCAAAAUGACACCGUAACUUCGGGAGAAGGUGUGCCUUUAAUAAGUGAAAGUCUUCACGACUAAAGCUGAAAAAGGUUGCAAAUACCAGGUGGCUGCGACUGUUUACUAAAAACACAGCACUCUGCAAACUCGUAAGAGGACGUAUAGGGUGUGACGCCUGCCCGGUGCCGGAAGGUUAAAUGAUGGAGUUAGUUUUCGAGCAAAGCUUCAGAUUGAAGCCCCGGUAAACGGCGGCCGUAACUAUAACGGUCCUAAGGUAGCGAAAUUCCUUGUCGGGUAAGUUCCGACCUGCACGAAUGGCGUAACGACUUCCCCGCUGUCUCCAGCAUAGACUCAGUGAAAUUGAAUUCCCCGUGAAGAUGCGGGGUUCCUGCGGUUAGACGGAAAGACCCCGUGCACCUUUACUAUAGCUUUACAUUGGCAUUCGUAGUGGCAUGUGUAGGAUAGGUGGUAGGCUUUGAAACCUGGGCGCCAGCUCAGGUGGAGCCACCCUUGAAAUACCACCCUUAUUACUAUGGAUGUCUAACCGCGGCCCGUUAUCCGGGUCCGGGACAAUGUAUGGUGGGUAGUUUGACUGGGGCGGUCGCCUCCUAAAGAGUAACGGAGGCGCGCGAUGGUGGGCUCAGAACGGUCGGAAAUCGUUCGCUGAGUGCAAUGGCAUAAGCCUGCCUGACUGCGAGACUGACAAGUCGAGCAGAGACGAAAGUCGGUCAUAGUGAUCCGGUGGUCCCGCGUGGAAGGGCCAUCGCUCAACGGAUAAAAGGUACGCCGGGGAUAACAGGCUGAUGACCCCCAAGAGUCCAUAUCGACGGGGUUGUUUGGCACCUCGAUGUCGACUCAUCGCAUCCUGGGGCUGGAGCAGGUCCCAAGGGUAUGGCUGUUCGCCAUUUAAAGCGGUACGUGAGUUGGGUUCAGAACGUCGUGAGACAGUUCGGUCCCUAUCUGCCGUGGGUGUAGGAAUAUUGAAAGGAUCUGUCCCUAGUACGAGAGGACCGGGAUGGACGGAUCUCUGGUGGACCUGUUGUGGCGCCAGCCGCAUAGCAGGGUAGCUAUAUCCGGACGGGAUAACCGCUGAAGGCAUCUAAGCGGGAAACCCACCUUAAAACGAGUAUUCCCUGAGAACCGUGGAAGACGACCACGUUGAUAGGCCGGGUGUGGAAGAGCGGCAACGCUUGAAGCUUACCGGUACUAAUAGUUCGAUCGG